RNAcentral lists this transfer RNA (76 nucleotides) under Aliidiomarina halalkaliphila. Its description in RNAcentral is "Aliidiomarina sp. IM1326 tRNA-Met". It matches the Rfam family "tRNA". From Rfam's summary of the family: Transfer RNA (tRNA) molecules are approximately 80 nucleotides in length. Their secondary structure includes four short double-helical elements and three loops (D, anti-codon, and T loops). The record is from RNAcentral. Lineage: Bacteria; Pseudomonadati; Pseudomonadota; Gammaproteobacteria; Alteromonadales; Idiomarinaceae.
GGCCCCUUAGCUCAGUGGUUAGAGCACUCGACUCAUAAUCGAUUGGUCCCCAGUUCGAGUCUGGGAGGGGCCACCA